This 477-nucleotide ribosomal RNA is filed under the name uncultured bacterium. Its description in RNAcentral is "bacterial SSU rRNA". It matches the Rfam family "Bacterial small subunit ribosomal RNA", at positions 28 to 523 of the family's 1533-position model. The record is from RNAcentral.
GAUGAACGCUGGCGGCGUGCUUAACACAUGCAAGUCGAACGGUGAAAGAGGAGCUUGCUCCUCUGGAUCAGUGGCGAACGGGUGAGUAACACGUGAGUAACCUGCCCUUGACUCUGGGAUAAGCACUGGAAACGGUGUCUAAUACCGGAUACGACCUCCGAAGGCAUCUUCUGGAAGUGGAAAGAAUUUCGGUCAAGGAUGGACUCGCGGCCUAUCAGCUAGUUGGGAGGUAACGGCCCACCAAGGCGACGACGGGUAGCCGGCCUGAGAGGGUGACCGGCCACACUGGGACUGAGACACGGCCCAGACUCCUACGGGAGGCAGCAGUGGGGAAUAUUGGACAAUGGGCGCAAGCCUGAUCCAGCCAUGCCGCGUGAGUGAUGAAGGCCCUAGGGUUGUAAAGCUCUUUUACCCGGGAAGAUAAUGACUGUACCGGAGAAUAACGCCCGGCUAACUUCGUGCCAGCCGCCGCAGUAA